Molecule: transfer RNA, 73 nt
Filed under: Canis lupus familiaris (dog)
Lineage: Eukaryota; Metazoa; Chordata; Mammalia; Carnivora; Canidae
Also listed under: 1 other name
Rfam family: tRNA
About the family: Transfer RNA (tRNA) molecules are approximately 80 nucleotides in length. Their secondary structure includes four short double-helical elements and three loops (D, anti-codon, and T loops).
Source: Rfam by way of RNAcentral
GCCUGGCUGGCUCUGUUGGAAGAGAAUGAGACUCUUAAUCUCAGGGUCAAGGGUUUGAACCCCACGUUGGGUG